This 780-nucleotide long non-coding RNA is filed under the name Vigna radiata. RNAcentral describes it as "long non-coding RNA (VRAD_LNC017623)". The record is from RNAcentral. Lineage: Eukaryota; Viridiplantae; Streptophyta; Magnoliopsida; Fabales; Fabaceae.
CCUUUCUUAGUGUUCUCUUUUUAUAUUUUACAUUUCGUUGUAUACGUAGCUUAGCUUGCAAGGAGUAUGGGUUACUAUAAAUACCCAACUCCUCUAUUGUAAUUUUCACUUUUGAUAUAAAUGAGAAUUGAGUUUUCUGAAUCAGAAACUAUUCUCUCUUGAAAGUCACAAGCUAGAGAGUCCAAAGGCUCCCUCUAGCCACCCUUCAAGCACACUCUCUUCCAUUUUUCAUUUCCACCGGGCUUCUCUCUCAUCCACUUCAGGCACACAUCAUCUGCCACCAUGCACGCAUCAGCGUUCUAUUCCUCCACUCUUCAUUCAGCCACAUGUGAUAUCUUUCACGCCUCACUUUCAUUUUAGUGGUUACGGGCUUCAUCAUCAUUCUCCACAUCUCAGGUUUUCCUCGAGAGCUCCUCCAUUCUCAAAGCUCGCCUUCUCCUCCGUAAGUUUUCAUCAUCAUAGAGUCUUCACUUCAUUCUCUACCUCGUUAUUCUUCUUUCCACCUAAAACCUAGCCUCUUCACAUAUCCUUUGCUCGUGUUUCUCACAGAUCUCCAUCCUUUUCACCAUUUUCCAUUGUUUUGACCGAUUAAAACCUUGUUUUAAUCAUUUUCCACCGAUUAAACAUCAUUCCACCAUUUAAUCCUUCAUUCCAACCAUUCAAUCUUAAAUUUGAACCGAUUAAUCGGUUCAAUUUGUGUUCCUCACCAUUUUAGGGUUCUUCGACUCAAAUCCUCUCUGGUUUUAGAGUGUAACUUUUCUCCUAAGAUUUCCUAGAGUC